GUAACGGCGAGCGAACGGGGAAGAGCCCAGCACCGAAUCCUGCAGUCUUGCGCUGUUAGGAAAUGUGGUGUUUAGGACUAUUUCUACGAUCGAUGGCCUACUUAAAGUUCACUUGAUUGUGACUCUAGGCCCGGAGAGGGUGUAAGGCCCGUCUGGGUAGGCUGUCGUAUCGUCUGAAUUGUCCUUAGAGUCGGGUUGUUUGAGAUUGCAGCCCAAAGUGGGUGGUAAACUCCAUCUAAGGCUAAAUACUGAACACUAGUCCGAUAGUCAACAAGUACCGUGAGGGAAAGUUGAAAAGAACUUUGAAGAGAGAGUUCAAUAGUGCGUGAAGCCGUCUAGAGGUAAACGAGUGGGGCCGAAAUUGACUUUGAGGAUUCAGCCAGUGAGGCGAAGUAUGUCGGUUAUUUUGGACUCUAUUUAGAGCUGACUGGCUGGUAAACCCUUUGCUUCGCUGGUGCACUUUCUCAUUGUCUAUACCAUGACCGGCGGUCUGAUGGUCUGUCAUUGGAUGGUGGUAGUGUCGGUUUCGGCUGGCAUGAAACUUCUGAUAUGGAACUGUCGGAUUGCUGUGACUGCGACGCAAGCUUUAUUGCGCACAUGGCUUAAUUGAAUUGGAGCUACUUUGGGUAAACUUCAAAGAAGAUUGCUCGAGGUGGUUUUAGUUUGGUUGGUCCUCUGUGAUUUGUGUCAAUAGUCUAUGGUGUUUAAGUAGGCAACCUACUUGACCCGUCUUGAAACACGGACCAAGGAGUCUAGCAUGUGCGCGAGUCAUUGGACGUUACGAAACCCAAAGGCGAAGUGAAAGCAAAGGCGCAUUUCAUUGUGCUUAGAUGUGAUCCCGGUUGUUAUUUAUAACGCUGGGCGCAACAUCGGCCCGUCUCAUAAUAUUUUUAUUGGGGCGGAGCUAGAGCGUACAUGCUGAAACCCGAAAGAUGGUGAACUAUGCUUGCGCAGGUUGAAGCCAGAGGAAACUCUGGUGGAGGACCGUAGCGAUUCUGACGUGCAAAUCGAUCGUCAGACGUGAGUAUAGGGGCGAAAGACUAAUCGAACCAUCUAGUAGCUGGUUCCCUCCGAAGUUUCCCUCAGGAUAGCUGGCAUGCAUGAGAUAAAACAGUUUUAUCCGGUAAAGCGAAUGAUUAGAGGUAUUGGGGACUAAGUGUCCUCAACCUAUUCUCAAACUUUAAAUGGGUGAGAAGCUGAACUCUCUUAAUUGGAGUUUGGCAUUGAAUGUGUGUGCCUAGUGGGCCAUUUUUGGUAAGCAGAACUGGCGCUGUGGGAUGAACCAAACGUCUAGUUAAGGCGCCUAACACGUCGCUCAUGAGAUACCACAAAAGGUGUUGGUUGAUAUAGACAGCAGGACGGUGGCCAUGGAAGUUGGAAUCCGCUAAGGAGUGUGUAACAACUCACCUGCCGAAUCAACCAGCCCUGAAAAUGGAUGGCGCUUAGCGAUGGGCCUAUACUGGACCGACACUGUAAACUGACUGUUUAAUUAAUACAGUGUUGAGUAGGAGGGUCGCCGUGGUGAGCGUUGAAGCUUAGUCUGUGAAGGCUGGUGGAGCCGCCACGGGUGCAGAUCUU
Molecule: ribosomal RNA, 1578 nt
Filed under: Minona cf. gemella Naos Island
Lineage: Eukaryota; Metazoa; Platyhelminthes; Proseriata; Monocelididae
Description: eukaryotic LSU rRNA
Rfam family: Eukaryotic large subunit ribosomal RNA
Source: RNAcentral